CAGUUGUUCUCGUAGAAGUCCAGGG
RNAcentral lists this non-coding RNA (25 nucleotides) under Cricetulus griseus (Chinese hamster). The record is from RNAcentral. Lineage: Eukaryota; Metazoa; Chordata; Mammalia; Rodentia; Cricetidae.